CACCUGGCGAACGCGUUGUCUGCGCUUGUCCUCGGCGGCAGAAUUUCGCCUCGGUCCCUUGCAGCAGCCAGUCAGUGAGAGAGAGAGAGCGAGAGAGAGAGGCGGCAGGAGCAGCAGCAGCAGCAUCCGCUCCUCCUCCUCCUCCUCCUCUUGCUGCUGCUGCUGCUGCUGCUGCCUGGGUCCAGCUCGCCUUCGCCCAGCCUCCUCUCCCUCCCUCCUUCCCUGCCUGCCUGCCUGCUUCGCUCGCCCACCCGGGCUGCUGACAACCCGCGCGGCGCCACCGGGAUCUGGCUGGACUCCUGCGCGCAGAGAACCAUCAAGCCCUGAAUCCCCAAACCCCUCAUCUGGCUGAACCACAACACUUCUCAUUCAAGAAGCCAGGGACAGCGCAUGAUGAAGCUGGAGUAGAUGGGAAACACUGUGAAACGGAAUCUUGCAUGGAUCUCUUUCCUGAGUACAAAAACUGCAUUU
Non-coding RNA from Anolis sagrei ordinatus, 471 nucleotides. NCBI's taxonomy places the organism in Eukaryota, Metazoa, Chordata, Lepidosauria, Squamata, Anolidae. The record is from RefSeq and is a predicted model, not a curated record.